Molecule: ribosomal RNA, 617 nt
Filed under: uncultured bacterium
Lineage: Bacteria
Description: bacterial SSU rRNA
Rfam family: Bacterial small subunit ribosomal RNA
Source: RNAcentral
GGUGCAUUAGCUAGUUGGUAAGGUAACGGCUUACCAAGGCGAUGAUGCAUAGCCGAGUUGAGAGACUGAUCGGCCACAAUGGAACUGAGACACGGUCCAUACUCCUACGGGAGGCAGCAGUAGGGAAUCUUCCACAAUGGGCGCAAGCCUGAUGGAGCAACACCGCGUGAGUGAAGAAGGGUUUCGGCUCGUAAAGCUCUGUUGUUGGAGAAGAACGUGCGUGAGAGUAACUGUUCACGCAGUGACGGUAUCCAACCAGAAAGUCACGGCUAACUACGUGCCAGCAGCCGCGGUAAUACGUAGGUGGCAAGCGUUAUCCGGAUUUAUUGGGCGUAAAGCGAGCGCAGGCGGUUGCUUAGGUCUGAUGUGAAAGCCUUCGGCUUAACCGAAGAAGUGCAUCGGAAACCGGGCGACUUGAGUGCAGAAGAGGACAGUGGAACUCCAUGUGUAGCGGUGGAAUGCGUAGAUAUAUGGAAGAACACCAGUGGCGAAGGCGGCUGUCUGGUCUGCAACUGACGCUGAGGCUCGAAAGCAUGGGUAGCGAACAGGAUUAGAUACCCUGGUAGUCCAUGCCGUAAACGAUGAGUGCUAGGUGUUGGAGGGUUUCCGCCCUUCAG